CGGGGUGUAGCUCAGCUUGGUAGAGCACCUGCUUUGGGAGCAGGGGGUCCAAGGUUCGAAUCCUUGUAUCCCGACAA
RNAcentral lists this transfer RNA (77 nucleotides) under Methylotenera sp. RNAcentral describes it as "tRNA-Pro". It matches the Rfam family "tRNA". Rfam says of the family: Transfer RNA (tRNA) molecules are approximately 80 nucleotides in length. Their secondary structure includes four short double-helical elements and three loops (D, anti-codon, and T loops). The record is from RNAcentral. Lineage: Bacteria; Pseudomonadati; Pseudomonadota; Betaproteobacteria; Nitrosomonadales; Methylophilaceae.